Molecule: small RNA, 27 nt
Filed under: Bombyx mori (domestic silkworm)
Lineage: Eukaryota; Metazoa; Arthropoda; Insecta; Lepidoptera; Bombycidae
Description: ovarian small RNA-36845
Source: RNAcentral
UUAUGAAAUAUAAUGCCUGUGGAAGUC